AGAGGAAUAGCUGGGUCAAAUGGUGGUUCCAUUCCCAGAUUUCCAAGGAAUCUCCAUACUGCUUUCCAAAUUGGCUGUACCAAUUUGCCGUCCCACCAGCAAU
Molecule: microRNA precursor, 103 nt
Filed under: Marmota monax (woodchuck)
Lineage: Eukaryota; Metazoa; Chordata; Mammalia; Rodentia; Sciuridae
Source: RNAcentral